GAUGAACGCUGGCGGCGUGCCUAAUACAUGCAAGUCGAGCGAACGGACGAGAAGCUUGCUUCUCUGAUGUUAGCGGCGGACGGGUGAGUAACACGUGGAUAACCUACCUAUAAGACUGGGAUAACUUCGGGAAACCGUAGCUAAUACCGGAUAAUAUUUUGAACCGCAUGGUUCAAAAGUGAAAGACGGUCUUGCUGUCACUUAUAGAUGGAUCCGCGCUGCAUUAGCUAGUUGGUAAGGUAACGGCUUACCAAGGCAACGAUGCAUAGCCGACCUGAGAGGGUGAUCGGCCACACUGGAACUGAGACACGGACCGGGCAGCUGCGGGAUGCAGCAGUAGGGAAGGUACAGAGAUGGGCGAAAGGGCGACGGAGCAACGCCGCGUGAGUGAUGAGGGCCUGCGGAAGUUAAAAGUGUGUGAAGAGGGAGGAGGAUAUGUGCAAGAAGCGGUGCGCAACUGGACGUGGCCUAGUGAAAUGAGCAGGGUAAGCUAUGGG
RNAcentral lists this ribosomal RNA (497 nucleotides) under uncultured bacterium. Its description in RNAcentral is "partial 16S ribosomal RNA". It matches the Rfam family "Bacterial small subunit ribosomal RNA", at positions 28 to 507 of the family's 1533-position model. The record is from RNAcentral.